This 463-nucleotide ribosomal RNA is filed under the name uncultured bacterium. Its description in RNAcentral is "partial 16S ribosomal RNA". It matches the Rfam family "Bacterial small subunit ribosomal RNA", at positions 28 to 507 of the family's 1533-position model. The record is from RNAcentral.
GAUGAACGCUGACAGAAUGCUUAACACAUGCAAGUCGAUGGGGAAGUGGUGCUUGCACCCUGGCAACCAUGGCGGACGGGUGAGUAACGCGUAAGGGACUUACCUGCAGGACUGGGAUAACAGGGGGAAACUCCUGACAAGACCGGAUAAUGUCAUGGAGCUGCAUGGCUUUAUGAUGAAAGGAGACGCCUGCGGAGAGCCUUGCGUCCUAUUAGCUAGUUGGUGAGGUAAUGGCUCACCAAGGCGAAGAUAGGUAGCCGGCCUGAGAGGGUGGACGGCCACAAGGGGACUGAGAUACGGCACUUACUCCUACGGGAGGCAGCAGUGGGGAAUAUUGGACAAGGGGGGCAACCCUGAUCCAGCAAUUCUGUGUGCACGAAGAAGGUUUUCGGAUUGUAAAGUGCUUUCAGCAGGGAAGAAGUAAGUGACGGUACCUGCAGAAGAAGCGACGGCUAAAUACGUG